RNAcentral lists this ribosomal RNA (1484 nucleotides) under uncultured Bordetella sp. RNAcentral's name for it is "partial 16S-23S ribosomal RNA intergenic spacer". It matches the Rfam family "Bacterial small subunit ribosomal RNA". The record is from RNAcentral. Lineage: Bacteria; Pseudomonadati; Pseudomonadota; Betaproteobacteria; Burkholderiales; Alcaligenaceae.
GGUUCGAUUCUGGCUCAGAUUGAAUGCUGGCGAUGCUUUACACACAUGCAAGUCGAACGGCAGCAUGGACUUCGGUCUGGUGGCGAGCGGCGCAGGGGUGAGUAAUGUAUCGGAACGUGCCUGGUAGUGGGGAUAACUACGCGAAAGCGUAGCCAAUACCGCAUACGCCCUUCGGGGAAAGCAGGUUCUUCGGGCCUCGCACUAUUAGAGCGGCCGACAUCGGAUUAGGCUAGGUUGGUGGGGUAACGGCUCACCAAGGCGACGAUCCGUAGCUGGUUUGAGAGGAUGACCACACACUGGGACCGAGACACGGCCCAGACUCCUACGGGAGGCAGCAGUGGGGAAUUUUGGACAACGAAACUCCCGAUCCAGCCAUCCCGCGUGUGUGCGAUGAAGGCCUUCGGGUUGUAAAGCACUUUUGACAGGAAAAGAAACGGCACGGAUAAUACCCUGUGCAACUGACGGGCACUUGCAGAAUACCACGGCGCCGCCAACUACGUGCCAGCAGCCGCGGUAAUACGUAGGGUGCAAGCGUUAAUCGGAAUUAUCGGUGAAGCGUGUGGAAGUGUUCGGAAAGAAAGAUGAAAUCCCAGAGCUUAACUUUUGAACUGUAUUUUUAAUCUACCGAGCUAGAGUGUGUCAGAGGGAGGUGGAAUUCCGUAAGUGUGUAGCAGUGAAAUGCGUAGAUAUGCGGAGGAAUAUUUCGAUGGCGAAGGCAGCCCCUGGGAUAGCCACGACUAUGCACGAAAGCGUGGGGAGUAAACAGGAUUAGAUACCUCCUGGUAGUCCACGCCCCAAACGAUGUCAACUAGCUGUUGUGCCUUGGCCUUGGUAGCGCAGCUAACGCGUGAAGUUGACCGCCUGGGGAGUACGGUCGCAAGAUUAAAACUCAAAGGAAUUGACGGGGACUCGCGUCAAAGCGGUGGAUGAUGUGGAUUAAUUGAUGCCGCAAACGCGAAAACCUUACCUACCCUUGACAUGUCUGAAUCCCGAAGAGAUUUGGAGUGCCUCGCAAGAGAACCGGAACACAGGUGCUGUAUGGCUGUCGUCGCCUGUGUCGAGAUGCUGGUUGAGUCCUGCAACGAGCGCAACCUUCUUGUCAUUAGUUACAUGAAAGGGUACUCUAUCGAGACUGCCGGUGACAAACCGGAGGAAGGUGGGGAUGACGUCAAGUCCUCAUGGCCCUGGCGUGUAGGCUUCGCGACGUCAUACAAUGGUCGGGACAGAGGGUCGCCAACCCGCGAGGGGGAGCCAAUCCCAGAAACCCGAUCGUAGUCCGGAUCGCAGUCUGCAACCUGACUGCGCAAGAAGUUUGGAAUCGCUAGUACUCGCGGAUCAGCAUGUUCGUGGUGGAUACGUUCCCGUCUUGUACACACCGCCUGGUCAUACUGCUGGAGUGGGUUUUACCAGAAGUAGUUAGCCUAACCGUAAGGAGGGCGAUUGCCACGGUAGCAUUCAUGACUGGGGUGAAGUUGCAACAAGGU